UGCCAGCAGCCGCGGUAAUACGGAGGGGGUUAGCGUUGUUCGGAAUUACUGGGCGUAAAGCGCGCGUAGGCGGAUUAGUCAGUCAGAGGUGAAAUCCCAGGGCUCAACCCUGGAACUGCCUCCAAAACUACUAGUCUUGAGUUCGGGAGAGGUGAGUGGAAUUCCGAGUGUAGAGGUGAAAUUCGUAGAUAUUCGGAGGAACACCAGUGGCGAAGGCGGCUCACUGGCUCGAUACUGACGCUGAGGUGCGAAAGUGUGGGGAGCAAACAGGAUUAGAUA
Molecule: ribosomal RNA, 279 nt
Filed under: uncultured bacterium
Lineage: Bacteria
Description: partial 16S ribosomal RNA
Rfam family: Bacterial small subunit ribosomal RNA
Source: RNAcentral